GCCGAUGUAGCUCAGUUGGUAGAGCAACUCCAUGGUAAGGAGUAGGUCGCCGGUUCAAAUCCGGCCAUCGGCU
RNAcentral lists this transfer RNA (73 nucleotides) under Candidatus Giovannonibacteria bacterium GWA2_45_15. RNAcentral's name for it is "tRNA-Thr". It matches the Rfam family "tRNA". From Rfam's summary of the family: Transfer RNA (tRNA) molecules are approximately 80 nucleotides in length. Their secondary structure includes four short double-helical elements and three loops (D, anti-codon, and T loops). The record is from RNAcentral. RNAcentral also lists the same sequence under 9 other names. Lineage: Bacteria; Candidatus Giovannoniibacteriota.